UUAAGUUCAGCGGGUAAUCCUACCUGAUUUGAGGUCAAGACUUAAAUUGUGUUGCCUAAUGGCAGUCCAAAGACAAUUUGAAGCGGUCAGACAAAUUCACUAGCGACAGCACAGAUGAUCAAGUCUAUCAAACUGAGGCCAGUUGUUUGCAACCUGCUAAUGCAUUUAAAAGGAGCUGACUUUGACAGUUAGCAAGGCCU
This 200-nucleotide unclassified non-coding RNA is filed under the name Clavaria sp. RNAcentral's name for it is "partial internal transcribed spacer 2". Lineage: Eukaryota; Fungi; Basidiomycota; Agaricomycetes; Agaricales; Clavariaceae. The record is from RNAcentral.